UGGGGGAUAUUGCACAAUGGGCGAAAGCCUGAUGCAGCGACGCCGCGUGGGGGAUGAAGGCCUUCGGGUUGUAAACUUCUUUUGCUCUGAACAAGGCAUGCUAAUGGGUGUGUUGAGUGUAGGGGUUGAUUAGCGCCGGCUAACUACGUGCCAGCAGCCGCGGUAAUACGUAGGGCGCGAGCGUUGUCCGGAAUUAUUGGGCGUAAAGGGCUUGUAGGUGGCUGGUUGCGUCUGUCGUGAAAGCUCAUGGCUUAACUGUGGGGUUGCGGUGGGUACGGGCUGGCUUGAGUGCAGUAGGGGAGGCUGGAAUUCCUGGUGUAGCGGUGGAAUGCGCAGAUAUCAGGAGGAAUACCGGUGGCGAAGGCGGGUCUCUGGGCUGUUACUGACACUGAGGAGCGAAAGCAUGGGGAGCGAACAGGA
This 420-nucleotide ribosomal RNA is filed under the name bacterium. RNAcentral's name for it is "partial 16S ribosomal RNA". It matches the Rfam family "Bacterial small subunit ribosomal RNA", at positions 355 to 777 of the family's 1533-position model. The record is from RNAcentral.